RNAcentral lists this long non-coding RNA (1122 nucleotides) under Papio anubis (olive baboon). Its description in RNAcentral is "lncRNA (ENSPANG00000037942.1)". Lineage: Eukaryota; Metazoa; Chordata; Mammalia; Primates; Cercopithecidae. The record is from RNAcentral.
AUGGGCCCGGGGGCACAAGGUCGUGGCACUUGGCAAAGACCCUGUGGGGCAAAGCAAUCAGCACGCCUCAGCCCGGCCCCAGGGAGCUGCCUGUGUGGGGGCAGGCGGGGGCGCCCCAGGGCCUGCAGCACCCGAAGGGAGGACUCACUGGCUCAGCAUCAGAUCACAGAGCGGCUGCGGCGGGCACGGGCUGGGGGUGGGUGCACUAGACACCGGGGCCGGGGGACUGGCAGUGGGGGGCGUGCCGGUCGGGGCCCAGCAGCCGUCCUUUCUGCUGUCAGGGACCAACCAAGUCUUGGCCAUGUCCUUACAGCUGGUGGCAGUGGUUCCGUCCCGCUGGAGACAGUCGUCCCUCUGGUUGUUGGUGCAGGUGCCUGCGGGCAGGGUGUCACUGCGGGGCUGGAAUCCAGGGAGCCUUUCACAGCCCCCACCUGCCUCCCCCACUCAUUCCCCUCCCUGGGCUUCCCCUAUGCUCACUGGGUCAUCAGGCCCAGCAGCAGCCCUGGCCAGGGCAGGACCCGCCGCCCACUCACCGCACUGGCCCUCGGUGUUGUUGUGGAAGAGGCUGUAGGGCAGCCGGGCCUGGAAGAUGUGGCCAUCGAAAGUGACGCUCACACCCAGGGCAGGAAUGUCCACGCGCAUGGUGGUGGUCCCCGUCACAGACACAAGCACGCCGUUCUUGCUGAAACCGCUGCUCACCGGAAUUUGGUCAAACAGGAUCUGGGGGAAUCCGGGGGAACCUUGAGCUGGGAGGCAAUGCCAGGUGGGCUCGGGGAGUGGGGUUUGCCUUUGGGGCUCUGCCUCGACGUGCAGAGACCCCCCUGUAUAUCCCUCACCCCAAAGCCCAGAUCUUCCCUGAGGGCCUGGGGUCUCCAGUCGACUGCAUUUAGGCCACAAGGUGUGCUCGGCCUAAGGCGGCCCCACAGGCCUUCCCUGCCCCCUGGGAGCUGUCUCGGGCACAGGGCCAUCGCUGCGGCACGUGGGUCACCCGGCCUGCAGUCGGCCUGCCCAGGUGUGGUUGGGACUGGGCCAAUACCGUGCCGCCCGCCAUCUGGACUCACCAGGUCCUCCUCCCUCCCAUGCACCGUGGUGACGGUGAGGACGAUAUCCAUGGACUUGUAG